GACGAACGCUGGCGGCGUGCUUAACACAUGCAAGUCGAACGGAAAGGCCCUGCUUUUGUGGGGUGCUCGAGUGGCGAACGGGUGAGUAACACGUGAGUAACCUGCCCUUGACUUUGGGAUAACUUCAGGAAACUGGGGCUAAUACCGGAUAGGAGCUCCUGCUGCAUGGUGGGGGUUGGAAAGUUUCGGCGGUUGGGGAUGGACUCGCGGCUUAUCAGCUUGUAGGUGGGGUAGUGGCUUACCAAGGCUUUGACGGGUAGCCGGCCUGAGAGGGUGACCGGCCACAUGGGGACUGAGAUACGGCCCAGACUCCUACGGGAGGCAGCAGUGGGGAAUAUUGCACAAUGGGCGGAAGCCUGAUGCAGCAACGCCGCGUGCGGGAUGACGGCCUUCGUGUUGUAAACCGCUUUCGCCUGUGACGAAGCGUGAGUGACGGUAAUGGGUAAAGAAGCACCGGCUAACUACGUG
This 468-nucleotide ribosomal RNA is filed under the name uncultured bacterium. Its description in RNAcentral is "partial 16S ribosomal RNA". It matches the Rfam family "Bacterial small subunit ribosomal RNA", at positions 28 to 507 of the family's 1533-position model. The record is from RNAcentral.